RNAcentral lists this ribosomal RNA (380 nucleotides) under uncultured eukaryote. RNAcentral's name for it is "partial 18S ribosomal RNA". It matches the Rfam family "Eukaryotic small subunit ribosomal RNA", at positions 592 to 976 of the family's 1831-position model. The record is from RNAcentral.
CAAUAGCGUAUAUUAAAGUUGUUGCGGUUAAAAAGCUCGUAGUUGGAGUUCUGCCAGGUGCCGCCUGUCCGCCCCAGUGGUGAGUACGUGGCGCGCAUUUGGCCCUUUCAAGGGGAGCGUAUCUGCACUUUAUUGUGUGGUGCGGGAUCCUUGACUUUUACUUUGAGGAAAUAGGAGUGUUCCAAGCAGGCUCUCGUCGUGCACAGCUCAGCAUGGAAUAAUAGCAUUGGACCUCGAUUCUAAGCUGUUGGUUGCCAGAAGCGAGGUAAUGAUGAAGAGGGAUAGUUGGGGGCAUUCGUAUUUCAUUGUCAGAGGUGAAAUUCUUGGAUUUAUGAAAGACGAACUACUGCGAAAGCAUUUGCCAAGGAUGUUUUCAUUAA